GAUGAACGCUGGCGGCGUGCUUAACACAUGCAAGUCGAACGAAGCACUUUAUUUGAUUUCCUUCGGGACUGAUUAUUUUGUGACUGAGUGGCGGACGGGUGAGUAACGCGUGGGUAACCUGCCUUGUACAGGGGGAUAACAGUUGGAAACGGCUGCUAAUACCGCAUAAGCGCACAGCAUCGCAUGAUGCAGCGUGAAAAACUCCGGUGGUAUAAGAUGGACCCGCGUUGGAUUAGCUAGUUGGUGAGGUAACGGCCCACCAAGGCGACGAUCCAUAGCCGACCUGAGAGGGUGACCGGCCACAUUGGGACUGAGACACGGCCCAAACUCCUACGGGAGGCAGCAGUGGGGAAUAUUGCACAAUGGGCGAAAGCCUGAUGCAGCGACGCCGCGUGAGCGAAGAAGUAUUUCGGUAUGUAAAGCUCUAUCAGCAGGGAAGAUAAUGACGGUACCUGACUAAGAAGCACCGGCUAAAUACGUG
Molecule: ribosomal RNA, 481 nt
Filed under: uncultured bacterium
Lineage: Bacteria
Description: partial 16S ribosomal RNA
Rfam family: Bacterial small subunit ribosomal RNA
Source: RNAcentral